RNAcentral lists this ribosomal RNA (450 nucleotides) under uncultured organism. RNAcentral's name for it is "partial 16S ribosomal RNA". It matches the Rfam family "Bacterial small subunit ribosomal RNA", at positions 335 to 801 of the family's 1533-position model. The record is from RNAcentral.
ACUCCUGCGGGAGGCAGCAGUGGGGAAUAUUGGACAAUGGGCGCAAGCAUGAUCCAGCCAUGCCGCGUGAGUGAUGAAGGCCCUAGGGUUGUAAAGCUCUUUCACCGGUGAAGAUAAUGACGGUAACCGGAGAAGAAGCCCCGACUAACUUCGUGCCAGCAGCCGCGGUAAUACGAAGGGGGCUAGCGUUGUUCGGAUUUACUGGGCGUAAAGCGCACGUAGGCGGACUAUUAAGUCAGGGGUGAAAUCCCGGGGCUCAACCCCGGAACUGCCUUUGAUACUGGUAGUCUUGAGUUCGAGAGAGGUGAGUGGAAUUCCGAGUGUAGAGGUGAAAUUCGUAGAUAUUCGGAGGAACACCAGUGGCGAAGGCGGCUCACUGGCUCGAUACUGACGCUGAGGUGCGAAAGCGUGGGGAGCAAACAGGAUUAGAUACCCCAGUAGUCCCAUGAU